RNAcentral lists this ribosomal RNA (229 nucleotides) under uncultured bacterium. Its description in RNAcentral is "partial 16S ribosomal RNA". It matches the Rfam family "Bacterial small subunit ribosomal RNA", at positions 524 to 751 of the family's 1533-position model. The record is from RNAcentral.
UACGAAGGGGGCUAGCGUUGCUCGGAAUCACUGGGCGUAAAGCGCACGUAGGCGGAUCUUUAAGUCAGGGGUGAAAUCCCAAGGCUCAACCUUGGAACUGCCUUUGAUACUGGGGAUCUCGAGUCCGGAAGAGGUUGGUGGAACUGCGAGUGUAGAGGUGAAAUUCGUAGAUAUUCGCAAGAACACCAGUGGCGAAGGCGGCCAACUGGUCCGGUACUGGACGCUGAGG